This 305-nucleotide unclassified non-coding RNA is filed under the name plant metagenome. RNAcentral's name for it is "partial contains 5.8S ribosomal RNA, internal transcribed spacer 2, and large subunit ribosomal RNA". The stretch from base 1 to 105 matches the Rfam family "5.8S ribosomal RNA", at positions 50 to 154 of the family's 154-position model. The record is from RNAcentral.
GAAAUGCGAUAAGUAGUGUGAAUUGCAGAAUUCAGUGAAUCAUCGAAUCUUUGAACGCACAUUUCGCCCUUUGGUAUUCCUUAGGGCAUGCCUGUUCGAGCGUCAUUUAAACCCUUCAAGCUCAGCUUGGUGUUGGGUGACUGUCCGCCGCCCCCGGGCGUGGACUCGCCCCAAAUCCAUUGGCGGCCGGUACGUAGGCUUCGAGCGCAGCAGAAACGCGAACUCGAGCCCGCGGUGUCGGCUCCCAGAAGCCAUCUCUUUUAUUUUGACCUCGGAUCAGGUAGGGAUACCCGCUGAACUUAAGC